UUCCUGGUAGUCCAGUGGUUAGGACUAGGUCCUUUCACUGUGGUGGCCCAGGGUUCAAUUCCUGGUCAGGGAA
Molecule: transfer RNA, 73 nt
Filed under: Bos taurus (domestic cattle)
Lineage: Eukaryota; Metazoa; Chordata; Mammalia; Artiodactyla; Bovidae
Also listed under: 3 other names
Rfam family: tRNA
About the family: Transfer RNA (tRNA) molecules are approximately 80 nucleotides in length. Their secondary structure includes four short double-helical elements and three loops (D, anti-codon, and T loops).
Source: Rfam by way of RNAcentral